This 505-nucleotide ribosomal RNA is filed under the name uncultured bacterium. RNAcentral describes it as "partial 16S ribosomal RNA". It matches the Rfam family "Bacterial small subunit ribosomal RNA", at positions 28 to 507 of the family's 1533-position model. The record is from RNAcentral.
GACGAACGCUGGCGGCGUGCCUAAUACAUGCAAGUGGGACGCAAGGAAACACACUGUGCUUGCACACCGUGUUUUCUUGAGUCGCGAACGGGUGAGUAACGCGUAGGUAACCUGCCUAUUAGCUGGGGAUAACUAUUGGAAACGAUAGCUAAUACCGCAUAAUAUUAAUUAUUGCAUGAUAAUUGAUUGAAAGAUGCAAGCGCAUCACUAGUAGAUGGACCUGCGUUGUAUUAGCUAGUUGGUAAGGUAAGAGCUUACCAAGGCGACGAUACAUAGCCGACCUGAGAGGGUGAUCGGCCACACUGGGACUGAGACACGGCCCAGACUCCUACGGGAGGCAGCAGUAGGGAAUCUUCGGCAAUGGACGAAAGUCUGACCGAGCAACGCCGCGUGAGUGAAGAAGGUUUUCGGAUCGUAAAGCUCUGUUGUAAGUCAAGAACGUGUGUGAGAGUGGAAAGUUCACACAGUGACGGUAGCUUACCAGAAAGGGACGGCUAACUACGUG